CAACAGGGAUUGCCCUAGUAACGGCGAGUAAAGCGGCAACAGCUCAAAUAAGAAAUCUGGCUUCGGCGGGAGUUGUAAUUUGCAGAGGAAGCUUUAGGCGCGGCACUUUCUGAGUCCCCUGGAACGGGGCGCCAUAGAGGGUGAGAGCCCCGUAUAGUUAGAUGCCUAGCCUGUGUAAAGCUCCUUCGACGAGUCGAGUAGUUUGGGAAUGCUGCUCAAAAUGGGAGGUAAAUUUCUUCUAAAGCUAAAUACCGGCCAGAGACCGAUAGCGCACAAGUAGAGUGAUCGAAAGAUGAAAAGCACUUUGAAAAGAGGGUUAAAUAGCACGUGAAAUUGUUGAAAGGGAAGCGCUUGUGACCAGACUUGCGCCGGGCAGAUCAUCCGGUGUUCUCACCGGUGCACUCUGCCCGGCUCAGGCCAGCAUCGGUUCUCGCGGGGGGAUAAAGGCCCUGGGAACGUAGCUCCUCCGGGAGUGUUAUAGCCCGGGGCGUAAUGCCCUCGCGGGGACCGAGGUUCGCGCAUCUGCAAGGAUG
Molecule: ribosomal RNA, 533 nt
Filed under: Chaetomium cirrhata
Lineage: Eukaryota; Fungi; Ascomycota; Sordariomycetes; Sordariales; Chaetomiaceae
Description: partial large subunit ribosomal RNA
Rfam family: Eukaryotic large subunit ribosomal RNA
Source: RNAcentral